GCCGAAGUGGCGGAACGGCAGACGCGCUGCGUUCAGGGCGCAGUGGGCAGAAGCCCGUGUGGGUUCAAAUCCCACCUUCGGCACCA
This 86-nucleotide transfer RNA is filed under the name Bacillota bacterium. RNAcentral's name for it is "Firmicutes bacterium (anaerobic digester metagenome) tRNA-Leu". It matches the Rfam family "tRNA". From Rfam's summary of the family: Transfer RNA (tRNA) molecules are approximately 80 nucleotides in length. Their secondary structure includes four short double-helical elements and three loops (D, anti-codon, and T loops). The record is from RNAcentral. Lineage: Bacteria; Bacillati; Bacillota. RNAcentral also lists the same sequence under 1 other name.